RNAcentral lists this transfer RNA (76 nucleotides) under Holosporales bacterium. Its description in RNAcentral is "tRNA-Trp". It matches the Rfam family "tRNA". Rfam says of the family: Transfer RNA (tRNA) molecules are approximately 80 nucleotides in length. Their secondary structure includes four short double-helical elements and three loops (D, anti-codon, and T loops). The record is from RNAcentral. Lineage: Bacteria; Pseudomonadati; Pseudomonadota; Alphaproteobacteria; Holosporales.
AGGAGUGUAGCUCAAUUGGUAGAGUUCCGGUCUCCAAAACCGGCGGUUGAGGGUUCGAGUCCCUCCACUCCUGCCA